RNAcentral lists this ribosomal RNA (322 nucleotides) under uncultured eukaryote. RNAcentral's name for it is "partial 18S ribosomal RNA". It matches the Rfam family "Eukaryotic small subunit ribosomal RNA", at positions 1470 to 1796 of the family's 1831-position model. The record is from RNAcentral.
CCCUUAGAUGUUCUGGGCCGCACGCGUGCUACACUGAGUGGAUCAGCGGGUCAGGUUGCGCGAAAGUGUUUCCUAAUCUUUAAAUCCGCUCGUGAUGGGGAUUGACGGUUGCAAUUUUCCGUCAUGAACGAGGAAUACCUUGUAAGCGCGGGUCAUCAUCCCGCGCUGAAUACGUCCCUGCCCUUUGUACACACCGCCCGUCGCUCCUACCGAUUGAGUGGUCCGGUGAGGCUUUGGAAUCUGAGCGGAAAGAGCGUUUCGCUGUUUCUGCCCGGAAAACUCAGUCGAACCUUAUCAUUUAGAGGAAGGAGAAGUCGUAACA